Molecule: long non-coding RNA, 1266 nt
Filed under: Gadus morhua (Atlantic cod)
Lineage: Eukaryota; Metazoa; Chordata; Actinopteri; Gadiformes; Gadidae
Description: lncRNA (ENSGMOG00000035557.1)
Source: RNAcentral
GAUGAUGUUUACUUCAGAGACGCUGUUGUAAUUCCUGUUUGGAAACCUGGACAUUUCUUGUUAUCUAAACCUUUGUCAGUCUCUCAGCCCUGGGCCAUGGAAAGAGACGACUGGUUUGGACAUCGAGGGCUUUCCACGGCAAAAGUAUGGCAUCGACUGUGGCAUCUCCAUGUUGAUGUAUGCCCUUUACAAAGUCAUGGAUGCACCCUUUGACUUCACUGUUACUGAUAUGCCAUCGUUGAGAAAAUGGUGGUGUAUCAUGCUGAUUGAAAAUCUUGACCUUGGAAGCCAUGGCAAACUCUUUGCCCACUGGACUGACACAUCUAAGGCUCUUCUUCGGGGUGAGGUGCCACCAGUUUUUAAACUGAAGAAGAGAAGGCGAGAUGACAUUCAUGAGGGGCCACUUGACAACAUUGUAGCUGGAGUUGCCUGGCUGCGUCAGAAUGCAGGUUUGCUCAGGGGGAAGGUGGUUGAGCCCGCAUUUCCGAAUAUCGACGCAAAAGAACAGCAGGAGCUCCUGAAAAGGAUCCGUUCUUCAACUGAUGAAGAAGAAAAGCAUCCCCUGCUCUUCACAUUUGAUUUUCAGGAAGACAUGGAGGUCUUCCUUAACAUGGCAGCUGAGGAGGAUCUUCGGGUCAACGCCAUGUUUCUGGGUCGCUGGGUGGACAGCCAGUGACAUUGCUGUGUGUGUGUGUGUGUGUGUGUGUGUGUGUGUGUGUGUGUGUGUGUGUGUGUGUGUGUGUGUGUGUGUGUGUGUGUGUGUGUGUGUGUGUGUGUGUGUGUGUGUGUGUGUGUGUGUUGAGGUUCUGAGUUCAGUUAUCUGUUGUGUUCUUAAUAAAGUGUUAUAACGUUUACAAUGUAUUGAUUUUUUGUAUUACUUUACUUAUUCACUUUGGUUACACACAGAGCUAAGUUAAAACACAGACUUGAGUUUGUCGUAUUUAAAUAUGGGCAAAUAAGGUGGUCCCGCAGCACAAGGUAAGACAAUAUUAUAGACAAUUAGAGCCAGAUAUUAAAUGAAUGAUGGUUCAGAGUAAGAAUUUAGGAAUGCAAAAGUGCUAAUAACAUAUGAUAAAUUAUGUUGGAAUGCAGUCGAACCUUAUGAUAUUAAGACAACAGAAUGUAACAUAGCUAGACCUAAUAUAAAUAUGUCAGAAAAGGUGAAGCUAAAGGGGAAUUGUUCUAUCUAUUCCUGUUCACUCAUACAUAGUAUUUAAAAUAAUUAUUAGCCUCAAUCUCUGAUGCCCUUCAACUUUAAUAACGAGU